UCAAGGCCUAAAAAGAGGUGGGCAAUUCCUCAUUUGAGCUCUCAUGGCGCCUCCCAAGAAAUCAAAGAAAAGCAAGAAAGAUAGGAAAUUGAAGAAAAACUUAAGCUUGUUGGUUCCAGUCGAGCCUAAAGCUGCAGACUCUGACUGGUGGGAUAGUUUCUUCAACCCAAGAUUCUUCACUAUCCAAUGAUGAGGAGGAAGGUUUUAAGUAUUUCUUUAGGGUCUCUAAGAAGAGUUUUGACUAUAUCUGUUCCCUUGUAAGAGAAGACCUUGCGUCGAGGCCGCCAUCGGGUCUCAUCAACGUAGAAGGAAGGUUUCUUAGUGUUGAGAAACAGGUUGCAAUCCCCCUAAGAAGGUUGGCAUCUGGUGAGUCUCAAGUAUCAGUGAGAGCUGCCUUUGGAGUCGGCCAGUCCACAGUUUCUGAGGUUGCAAUAUCUGUGAUCAGGGUACUUUUGUUUGUGGCAAGGCCAAGGACUUUUGUUCAUGGAAACCUUCCGAAUUCCAUGGUUUACAGAAAUGUUGAGCAGGAUGCUAAUGCAAGCAAUGUUCCUGGAAUUCUCAUACUUGAGAUUGAUGCUCCCAUACCAACUACUUAAGAGAAAGACACACAGGUUGGAGAGGACUUGAUGAAGGCAUCGUUGUAGUUGGGACUUGCAUGAUUUAAAAGCUACAAUGGCAGGUUGCAUGUCAACCACAUCCAAAACAAUUAAAUCAAGGAAAAAACACUGUCAGCGGGUCAUCAAACGCCAUAGAAAGGCAACCUGCUCCGCUUCACAUGGUACCAAGAAAAGAAAUACCAGUUUCAAGAAAAUAAAUAGUGAUGCAGGAGCUCGCGUGAGUGACUAUGCUGUCAGUGAGUUUGUUCAUGUGGACUUUGAGAAUGGUGCAACAACUACUCAUGCAGGGUUCUAACUACUUUGAGAUUGA
Prunus dulcis (almond) is the source of this 927-nucleotide long non-coding RNA. RefSeq lists it as uncharacterized. The record is from RefSeq and is a predicted model, not a curated record. NCBI's taxonomy places the organism in Eukaryota, Viridiplantae, Streptophyta, Magnoliopsida, Rosales, Rosaceae. The transcript is spliced from 4 exons.